Molecule: non-coding RNA, 296 nt
Organism: Schizosaccharomyces pombe (fission yeast)
Lineage: Eukaryota; Fungi; Ascomycota; Schizosaccharomycetes; Schizosaccharomycetales; Schizosaccharomycetaceae
Source: the annotation of a GenBank genome assembly
UAGUAACCCAUGAGCUUUACGCGAAGAAAAAGAGCGUUGAAAAUGAAACAUAGAACUGUAACAUGAAAACGAAGAAUUAUUUUUUGUAAUUCAAGAAACAAUAUAUGAACAUAGAAGGGAGUCAGGAAUGACCAAUGCUGAUAAUGUUUAGAAGAGGCUAACUUUGCUCCGUUUGAGACGUUAAAGUGAAAUACGAGCUCACUGUUCCUACCCAUUGAUGCUGCCAAUUCGUAUAAUAUGCUAUAUGAACCUACAUCUAGUCAAUUGCUUUGUGAACAAAGCUUGGUAUAUUGGCG